This 387-nucleotide ribosomal RNA is filed under the name uncultured bacterium. RNAcentral's name for it is "bacterial SSU rRNA". It matches the Rfam family "Bacterial small subunit ribosomal RNA", at positions 28 to 418 of the family's 1533-position model. The record is from RNAcentral.
GACGAACGCUGGCGGCGUGCUUAACACAUGCAAGUCGAGCGGUAAGGCCCUUUCGGGGUACGACGAGCGGCGAACGGGUGAGUAACACGUGGGUGACCUGCCCUCAGCUCUGGGAUAAGCCCGGGAAACUGGUCUAAUACCGGAUAUGACUCCAUAACGCAUGUUGUGGGUGGAAAGCCUUGUGCGGCUAGGGAUGGGCCCGCGGCCUAUCAGCUUGUUGGUGGGGUGAUGGCCUACCAAGGCGACGACGGGUAGCCGGCCUGAGAGGGCGACCGGCCACACUGGGACUGAGACACGGCCCAGACUCCUACGGGAGGCAGCAGUGGGGAAGUCUUGCGCAAUGGGCGAAAGCCUGACGCAGCGACGCCGCGUGGGGAUGACGGCCUC